UAACGAUACGGGACUCAUCCGAGGCCCCGUGAUCGGAAUGAGUACACUUUAAAUCCUUUAACGAUGUUCCAUUGGAGGGCAAGUCUGGUGCCAGCAGCCGCGGUAAUUCCAGCUCCAAUAGCGUAUAUUAAAGUUGUUGCGGUUAAAAAGCUCGUAGUUGAAUCUGUGUGCCACGCUGUCGGUUCAUCGCUCGCGAUGUUUAACUGACAUGAUUGUGGGACGUCCUACCGGUGGGCUUAGCCUUUCGGGGCGGUCCAGCUAAUAUCCCAUCGCGGUGCUCUUCAUCGAGUGUCGAGGUGGGCCGGUACGUUUACUUUGAACAAAUUAGAGUGCUCAAAGCAGGCUAUGUUCGCCUGAAUACUGUGUGCAUGGAAUAAUGGAAUAGGACCUCGGUUCUAUUUUGUUGGUUUUCGGAACCCCGAGGUAAUGAUUAAUAGGGACAGAUGGGGGCAUUCGUAUUGCGACGUUAGAGGUGAAAUUCUUGGAUCGUCGCAAGACGAACAGAAGCGAAAGCAUUUGCCAAAAAUGUUUUCAUUAAUCAAGAACGAAAGUUAGAGGUUCGAAGGCGAUCAGAUACCGCCCUAGUUCUAACCAUAAACGAUGCCAGCUAGCGAUCCGCCUAAGUUCCUUUGAUGACUCGGCGGGCAGCUUCCGGGAAACCAAAGCUUUUGGGUUCCGGGGGAAGUAUGGUUGCAAAGCUGAAACUUAAAGGAAUUGACGGAAGGGCACCACCAGGAGUGGAGCCUGCGGCUUAAUUUGACUCAACAC
Molecule: ribosomal RNA, 768 nt
Filed under: Cales noacki
Lineage: Eukaryota; Metazoa; Arthropoda; Insecta; Hymenoptera; Calesidae
Description: SSU rRNA
Rfam family: Eukaryotic small subunit ribosomal RNA
Source: RNAcentral